This 488-nucleotide ribosomal RNA is filed under the name uncultured bacterium. RNAcentral's name for it is "partial 16S ribosomal RNA". It matches the Rfam family "Bacterial small subunit ribosomal RNA", at positions 30 to 507 of the family's 1533-position model. The record is from RNAcentral.
AUUGAACGCUGGCGGCAUGCUUUACACAUGCAAGUCGAACGGCAGCACAGGGAGCUUGCUCCUGGGUGGCGAGUGGCGAACGGGUGAGUAACGUAUCGGAACGUUCCUGGUAGUGGGGGAUAACUACCCGAAAGCGUGGCUAAUACCGCAUGAGAUCUUUGGAUGAAAGCGGGGGACCUUCGGGCCUCGUGCUACUGGAGCGGCCGAUAUCAGAUUAGGUUGUUGGUGUGGUAAAGGCCUACCAAGCCUGCGAUCUGUAGCUGGUCUGAGAGGACGACCAGCCACACUGGGACUGAGACACGGCCCAGACUCCUACGGGAGGCAGCAGUGGGGAAUUUUGGACAAUGGGCGCAAGCCUGAUGCAGCAAUGCCGCGUGCGGGACGAAGGCCUUCGGGUUGUAAAAUGCUUUUGUACAGAACGAAAAGUCUCUGGCUAAUAUCUAGAGAUCAUGACGGUACUGUAAGAAUAAGCACCGGCUAACUACGUG